UAUCAAGAAAUAAUAGCAACCACCACAUUAAAAAGAAAUUAACCGACAAAAUGAAAGAUUUGCUUGGCUGAGAGUAUGAGAGAAUGUGUACAGUUGUAGCUUAGCUCUUACUUACUAUUAAUUACUUUACUGUGGUCUUCGGAGUAGGAAACAAGAUGGUUUAGUCAAGAUAACAGGGAAUGGUAGGAGCCCAAAGUUUACAGUGAAGGAGUGAACAGUCACAGAAUUUUCUCCAAAGAACCGAUGAGAAAACUUAAUCCUAUGCAUGUACAGAUCUAAUACAACCCAGGCAAAUGUUGAAUCUGCAUGUAUGGCAAUCAGUACUGGUGACAAAUGCAGUUGUGCCUCACUUGCAUAUCAGUGGGUGGGUGACAUGUAAGACCCCUCCCAGCUUGCUGGCUUGAACCAACAUAUAGACCAUCGGCAGGUUACCGUGAGGAUACUUGUUCACUGAAUCAUGAAAUGGUUUGGGUUGGAAGGGAUCUUAAAGACCAUCUAGUCCCAGCCCCUGCCAUGUGCAGGGACACCUCCCGCUGGAUCAUGCUGCCCAGGGCCCCAAAGUGGCCUUUCAGGUCCCAAUGUGCCAGAGAAGAGUUUUAUUACAACACUCUUAUUUUUUUUUUAUUUUAUUUUAUUUUUGUCAGCAGAUUAGAGAACUAUAUAAAACCAAACCUUCAUCUGUCUGCAUACAAAACUUCUUGCACACAGGACAUCUCAUUGCUGAAAGGCCAUCACCCUCUAGAGAACAUGCCAUGUUCUCCAAGCAGUGAAGGUGUUGGAUGCUCACUGCCUGCUGUGCAGAACGACUCAUGGAUGGUGGUCCAGAUAUUCUCUCCAAAGAAGCAAGUCUUUUGGAAACUGCAUUACACCAUCAGCAUGGUAUUAGGUACUAAUUGCCAGGCGAUCCCAUUGAAUGCCAGCUGGAAUAAGAUUAGCUCAUCCUGAACCUGAGACAUGAAACAAUGGCUGCCAGAGACUCCUGGUAUAAGAAAGUGGUUACUGUUGCUUGGGAAAACAAUAAUAUGCCCCCUCCUCCACGUCCACUAUUGCUUUACGAUCCUCAGAACUUCUAUUAAAUCAAGACUGAGUUUGCACAUACCUCAGAAAAGAGUCCAAAUCCAAGAACUGUUUGUGAAGUAGCUAAAAUACUUGUUUGUUAAGAAAGUGUGAUCUCGUGAUCUUAAUUCUAAAUAUUAAUUUGCAUUUUUGUAUUUGUUUUGCAUUGAAAAUCCUUUCUAAAAUACUUAAAAGUGGGAAGGAAAAUCAUAGGAUUUGCAAGAAUAAUGAGAAUAAAUAAAUAAACAAUAUUUUUAAAUAAGAAUAA
RNAcentral lists this long non-coding RNA (1324 nucleotides) under Numida meleagris (helmeted guineafowl). RNAcentral's name for it is "lncRNA (ENSNMEG00000009930.1)". The record is from RNAcentral. Lineage: Eukaryota; Metazoa; Chordata; Aves; Galliformes; Numididae.